RNAcentral lists this ribosomal RNA (492 nucleotides) under uncultured bacterium. RNAcentral's name for it is "partial 16S ribosomal RNA". It matches the Rfam family "Bacterial small subunit ribosomal RNA", at positions 29 to 507 of the family's 1533-position model. The record is from RNAcentral.
AGUGAACGCUGGCGGUAGGCCUAACACAUUCAAGUCGAACGGCAGCACAGUAAGAGCUUGCUCUUACGGGUGGCGAGUGGCGGACGGGUGAGGAAUACAUCGGAAUCUACUUUUUCGUGGGGGAUAACGUAGGGAAACUUACGCUAAUACCGCAUACGACCUACGGGUGAAAGCAGGGGAUCUUCGGACCUUGCGCGAUUGAAUGAGCCGAUGUCGGAUUAGCUAGUUGGCGGGGUAAAGGCCCACCAAGGCGACGAUCCGUAGCUGGUCUGAGAGGAUGAUCAGCCACGCUGGAACUGAGACACGGUCCAGACUCCUACGGGAGGCAGCAGUGGGGAAUAUUGGACAAUGGGCGCAAGCCUGAUCCAGCCAUACCGCGUGGGUGAAGAAGGCCUUCGGGUUGUAAAGCCCUUUUGUUGGGAAAGAAAAGCAGCAGGUUAAUACCCCGCUGUUCUGACGGUACCCAAAGAAUAAGCACCGGCUAACUUCGUG